CGUGUAGGCGGCUAAGUAAGUCGGGCGUGAAAUCCCACGGCUCAACCGUGGAAGUGCACUCGAAACUGCAUAGCUAGAGUCCUGGAGAGGAAGGUGGAAUGCUUGGUGUAGAGGUGAAAUUCGUAGAUAUCAAGCGGAACACCGGUGGCGAAGGCGGCCUUCUGGACAGUGACUGACGCUGAGACGCGAAAGCGUGGGGAGCAAACA
Molecule: ribosomal RNA, 207 nt
Filed under: uncultured bacterium
Lineage: Bacteria
Description: partial 16S ribosomal RNA
Rfam family: Bacterial small subunit ribosomal RNA
Source: RNAcentral